This 91-nucleotide transfer RNA is filed under the name Thermopolyspora flexuosa. RNAcentral describes it as "tRNA-Arg". Lineage: Bacteria; Bacillati; Actinomycetota; Actinomycetes; Streptosporangiales; Streptosporangiaceae. The record is from RNAcentral.
CGGCCGCCGCCGGGCGGGCCGGCCUGGUGCCGGUCCGGGGUGGCCUGCGAAAGCCGUGGGACCUGUGCGGGUCCCGCGCCGUCGCCGCCGC